GUCAAAGAGCAUUCCAGGUGGAGGGAAUAGAGAGGUGCCGAUUCUGAAGUGGGAAGACGUUGGGGCGUCGUCUUCACUGAGCAGGGCCACUGUGGCUGUGACCCUUGCAUGAGGGAAUGAGGGCUUUAU
RNAcentral lists this microRNA precursor (129 nucleotides) under Canis lupus familiaris (dog). Its description in RNAcentral is "microRNA mir-8907 (ENSCAFG00000057202.1)". Lineage: Eukaryota; Metazoa; Chordata; Mammalia; Carnivora; Canidae. The record is from RNAcentral.